Molecule: long non-coding RNA, 6852 nt
Organism: Gorilla gorilla gorilla (western lowland gorilla)
Lineage: Eukaryota; Metazoa; Chordata; Mammalia; Primates; Hominidae
Exons: 5
Source: RefSeq, a predicted model, not a curated record
AGGCAGCAGUGGCAAACAGCUGAGGUUGUGUGGUGGAACGUGGGUGCUUUGUUGUUUUAGUAUUCGCAACAAAGCUUGCUGCUGCUACUCGUUUGAGUCAGCAGUGCUUUCGUGAGCUGUAACGCUGACUGCAGAGGUUUGCUGCUUCGGUAUAGAGGCCAACGAGAGUACGAACUCACUGAGAGGAAUGAACAACUGUGGACGCGCCGCCUUGAGAGCUGUAACAGCGCGAAGAAGGUCUGCAGCUUCACUCCUGAAACCAGCAAGACCAUGAACCCAGCAGAAGGAAAAACUCCGAACAGUUUUGAACAUCAGAAGUAAACUGGUCACACUGUCUUUAAGAAUUGUAACAGUCACUGUGAGGGUCCGGUUUCAUUCUUUAAGUCAGUGAAACCAAGAACCCACCAAUUCCGGACACAGCACUAGAUCCAGAUUGGCAAAAAAGGGCCCUGGGCUUGCUCAACCGAGAGAGACAGGAGAACGGAGAGGGCAGCCUUAAGGAAGGGUGUGACCUAGAGGCUGGGCCAGGGGGUGGAACCAAGAAGGACGAGCGUAACGCCUGGCUCUUUCCACCUCUGUUCAUCACCAUUCUUUUUGCUGUGAUUCCAACGUUUCGUAUAUGUGAAAACAUUUUGAGGGAAGACUCACGAGAAUCGUUUCACAAACUUAUAAGCAAGAGUUCAGCAAAGUCCCAACGUGGGAAGGUUUGUUCAGAUGGACACAAGGCCUUCUUCAUAAUAUCCUGGGGUACAAGGUGGGCUGCUUAACCGUGUUGAUGUAUGGAACCAGGGUGAGAAUUCUAAAGGACGGUCCUGAAGGUACAGCAAGGACUCAGUUGAGGUGGAAUUCAUGGUGGAAUCUUUUGAUGGGGAUUUUCCUGCUUUGAAAGGAAAUAAUAGGAUGUUUUCAAUGUGGAACAGGGCUGAGGUUCUAACUGCUGGCCUAAAAGAAACAGGGUCUUGCUCUGUCCCCCAGGCUGGAGGGCAGUGGUACAAUCAUAGCUCACUAAAGCCUUGGAUUUCUGGGCUCAAGCAGUCCUCUCUCCUCAGCCUCCCAAGUAUCUAGGACUACAGUUUGGCCACUCUCUAGAAUACCACCACGCAAGAGAUUGGCUGGUUGGAGGAGGAUGCUGACCCACAGUGACAGAGUAGGACAUCUCAUCCAGCCUGGGAGCAGCCGCAGAGAACACAGAUAUUCUGCUACUCUUGCACCAUUCUGAAAAGACAGCCCAUAUCCUCUUUUCCACGCUUUUUGUCUCCAGGUCCACUCUGUUGCUUCUAAAUCCCUUGCUAUUUGGCCAAAUCACUGAGCUGGAAUGAACUGUGUACCCCUAUCUCUAGCCACCCCUCAUUCCAGGAAAUGUAGGGAAUGAAAUAUGUGGCUUGAAGUUCUGCUUACCACAGGGAGGUUCCUCCUCCACUGUCCUUUAGUGCCACUGCUGAGCUGUGAUGCCAUGCAGAGUCAUCUGUUUCUUCCUAAUGAAUUGUUCCUCAGGAAUGUACCCUGAAGAUAAAAGUGAAGCUUGAAGAAAAAGGAACAAGGUGGUGGGAUGAGGCUCUCUGAGAUUGGGUGCUGCAGGCUUGCUAGACAAUGGGGUGCAAAGCUUCUCUAAGAUGAAAUUGACAAUUCCCAGGUCAGCAAGGGCUGCCCAAGUCACACACAUGCCUGGUGUAUCAAUUAGGGAUGCUUCAGGAUGCAAACAACAGAGUAUACAACUCAUAGUGACUUCAGCACAUAGGGCUUUCCUUUUCUCUUGUACUCUUGUAGAAAUAAGUCGGAGGGGAUGCAGGCUCAGUGACCCAGGACCAGCACCUUUGCAGUUAUCUUUGCAGAGACUUCUGCUUUUGUCUUAUUGGCCCAAAAUCUGACCUGUGGCAUCCUACCCCACCCUCAUCUACAGAAGUGGAGGAAUAUUUGAUAAUAUAGCUCCUCCAGUCCUGCUAAUGAUACAGACAUGGGGAUAAGGGUUUGAGCACAUAGGAAUUGGUUUGACAGCCAACAGCGUCUACAGCACCUGGUGAUAUAGUCAGAUGCUGAGUCUCCACAGAGCCUAGUUACAAACUAAGAAAUGUUUUCUCAAAGGGAAGUUAAUUCCUGAUGGAAUGCAGAGGCUCUCAUUCUCCCCUGGGGCUCACUGCGGGCUUCAGACGGCAGCCAAGCUGUUUGGGUACUUUGCCCUUAGUUGGCUCUGCCAGUUUGUAAGUUGAUGAACCCAGCUGCUGUUACUGCAGCUGCGUCACUUGAAAAACUGAUUUCUCCUCUGGGUACCAAUCAAAACUGGAAGUAAUUUGAAAAAACAGUAAGUGAAUCAAAAUGGGCCACCCAAAAGUUAUGGAAUAUAUAUAUCCAAAGUCCAAUGUGUUGUCUUGGAGGUGGGGAGCUCUAGGUUUAGCAGCUUGUCCUUUGUCUCCUUUGUCUGGGAGGGGUAUCCCGAUGUGCCCCAGGACACUAGACCCCAGUGCUUUAUCAGGGUGAGCCCUGCAUGUUCAUGGUGCUCAUCUCCCUCCCUCUGGCAGUUUGCCUUUUCCAGUGAUUUAGGGUGUGCACCGCUUCCUACUGGUUAGAGCCAGAGUGCGAUUUCAUCACUGUAACAGGUUCACGGACUUCUCAGUUUUCCUUUCUACUCAGUGGGUCUAGGAGACAAUAUGGGAGUUAUCCCAGUUACUGAAAAUAACAAUUCCAAGUAUGCAUAUUCUCCUAGGAGAACAGGAACCUGAAACUAGGAACUAGGAGAAUAAUCUUAGGAGGAGCUAUGAUUGACGUUUCAACAACUGCCAAGGGAACUCGGUCUAUACUACACAUAUUUACUAAUCUCCAUGACACCCCUACUCUGACCCAUGGAUAGCAGCAGUGAUCUAGGUCUCAGCAAUCAGCAAUUUUCUUACAACUUUAAUGAGAUACAUUUUACGCAUCAUAUAAUUCACCCACUUCAAGUGUGCAAUUCAUUGAACAGUAAAUUUACCAAGUUGUGCAGCCAUCACUAUUAAUCAGUUUUAGAACAUUUUCAUCAGUCCAAUAAAGUCUCUCUGGCACACAGGUAAAAGAGGUCUUAUUGAACUGAUAGAAAUAUUAUUAAACAGACUUUGAAAAAAAUUGUGAAAUAAUCGCGCUAUAUUCCAUUGUCGUAAUCUACUUAACCGGGACUACCACUUAGAUUGUUUAAUAUCUUGUACAAUGUACAUAAAGAUAUGAUUAACUUCACAGGUGGUAAAUAUUUUCAUGCAUUUCUCAACAUACACCUAGGAUAAAUUUCUAAACGUGGAAUUAGUAGACUAAUAUUUUUAAGUGAAAAGAAAAUUCAGAAAUUAUAAAAAAUUACCAGAGUCUGAAUGAAGAUAAAAAUAGUGAAAGGGCCCUUUGUAACUCUGCAGUUGGCAAAAAUGUCAGGGGAACAAUUAUUUCCAGUGACAGCUGACACCUACUGUGAUAAAGAAGAUGCAGCCUUGUCUCCGUAGGCCCAAAAGUGUCCCUAGGCAGUCCCGGGAGCUUCCCUCUGUGCCUUUACCUCUGCUGCCAGAAAAGUAAUUCCUUAGAAACUGCCCGUUAAAAUUUAAAAUCUGACUGUUCCUGAAAUCUUACAGCCAAAAGUCACAUAAAUGAUCUCAGGUCUGGGCCCAAAUAGGCAGCUGUGAUGUCUUUUCCUUGAGUCUUUUUUUUUCCCCCUUUGGUGUGUGUAUAGUAUUCUGUUUUCAGAAGGCUAGGCCAUAGAGACUCUCACUUGAGCUGCUUUGAGUUGGAUGUGGCCACACUGGGGGCAAAGAGCAGCACUCCAGUGUGUAAGGAAAACAUUCAUCACCUGUCAGAGCCCUCACAUUAGUAAAGCUGAGAAAAAAUACUUCAGUUUCUCACUGUGAGUCAAGGAAGCACCAGGGCUGGAAUUGAGAUGGUGCAAUUUGCAAGUUGCCUCCAAACUACUAAUUUAUCAUCCUCAUUUUACAACAUUUUGCCGCCACCACACCCAAGGGAAUAGCUUUGACAAGCCUUCAAUUCUUCUAUUCUAAAAGAACUAAAUCCAUAGCAUGCACAUGCGCGCGCACACACACACACAAAUUUAAAUGACAUUUAUUAUUUCAAUAGGCAUUUUUCUUGUACUUUACGAUUUUCCAGAAAAUUCUUAAAUAGCCUCUAAAUAGUUUUGCACUCAAGGCAAUAAAUUCUCAGUGUUGAAUGAUUCCAACCAGGUUUUGCUGAGUACAAGUGUCUUGGUUUACCUCUUCCUCAUUUAAGAAGUGGGAGAACAGCCUUUCCUUUUCCAGGCUUUUGAAGGAGUCACAGAAGUUCUGGGAAUUGAAGGAGUUCGAAUAUGUCCCCGCAAGGAUACCUCAGAGGAUCUGGAGAUACCCGGUUCCCAGCAUCACAAGCAGCAUCACCAUGCUCUGCAAGCUGAACUCAGGCUCCACCCAGGCUCUGGGUCCUAAGCCUCCUUUUGCUUCCUAUUACUCAUUGAUAGAUGAUCAAUACAAAUGACAAAGGACAAAGCUAGAAUGAGCCUGUGAUAUCAAGAGGCAUUGGUAUGAACUCACGGUAUUUUUAAUACAUUUACAAAAAUGUAAAAAUAAGUAAUAUGAUAGCUUAUUUUACAUUGUUACUUUACUAUUUAUUAUUUUGCUUUACAUUAUAAUUAAAAUACAUGUGUCUCCAUAAAGAGGAACAACAGACACUGUGGUCUACUGGAGGGUGAAGCAUGGGAGGAGGGAGAAGAUCAGGAAAAAUAACUAAUGGGUACUAGGCUUAAUACUUGGGUGAUAAAAUAAUCUGUACAACAAACUCCUAUGACAUCAGUUUACCUGUAUAACAAACCCGCACAUGUACCUCUGAACUUAAAAUAAAACUUAAAAAUAACAGUAAUGAUAAAUGCAUCUCAAGAGAAUGAGAAGACAAUCCAUGAACUUGGAGAAAAUAUUUGCAAAAGACACAUCUGAUAAAAGACUGUUUUCCAAAAUAAAGAACUCCUAAAGCUCAACAAUAAGAAAACAAACAAUCUGAUUGAAAAAUAGUCAAAAGACCUAAAUAGACACCUCACCAAAGAAGAUAUACAGAUGGUAAAUAAGCAUAUGAAAAGAUACUCAACAUCAUAUCUCAUUAGAAAGUUGCAAAUUAAAACAGCAAUGAAAUAACACUACCCACCUAUUAGAAUGUCCAAAAUACAGGACACUGACAACAGCAAAUGCUGGUGAGUAUGUGGAGCAACAGGAACUCUCAUUCAUUGUUGGUGGGAAGGCAAAAUGGUGCAGCCACUUUGGAAAGUAGUUUGGCAAUUUCUUUCAAAAGCAAACAUACUCUUACCAUAUGACCCAGAAAUUAUGCUCCUUGAUACUUACCCAAGUAAACUGAAAACUUAUGUCCACACAAAAAUCUUUCCCAGUGAUUUAGGGUGUGCACAACUUCCUACUUGGAAUAUUUUUAUAGACACUUUAUUCAUAAUUGCCUAGAGGGAGGAAGCAACAAUCCAAAACUUGAAAGAAACCAAGAUGUCCUUCAGUAGGUAAAUAGGUAAAUCAUGGAAUAUCCAAACAGUGAAAUAUUACUCAGUGCUAAAACAAGAUGAGCUAUCAAACCAUGAAAAAGUGUGGAGAAACCCUAAAUGCAUAUUACUAAGUGAUAGAAGCCAACCCGAAAAGGCUGUGCACUGUGUAAUUCAACUAUAUGACAUUAAGUAAAAGGAAAAUGGAGACAGUAAAAAGAUUCAUGGUGGCCAUUAAAUUGGGAGAAGGAGAGAUGAGAGAUGAAUAGACAAGAGUACAGAGGAUUUUCUGGGCAAUGAAACUACUCUAUAUGACACUACGAUGCGGGAAAUUAUACAUUUGUCAAAACCCAUAGAAUACAAAAGAUUAAAACCGAACCCUAAUGUAAACUAUGGACUUUGAGUGAUAAUUAUGCGUUAGUGUAGGUUCACUGCUUGUAACAAAUGUACCGCUCUGGUGUGAGAUGUAAAUCGUGGGGAAAGUUGUGCAUGUGUGGGGACAGGGGUAUGUGAGAAAUCUGUAGUUUUCACUCAAUUUUGCUGUACUCCUAAAAGUGCUGUAGAAAAUAAAGUCAAUUAAUAAAUCAAUAACCAAUUGUGUAUAUACAUAAAUUAGUAUAUAAACAGAUAUUUCCUAGUUCUUCCUAAUGUUACUUAGAAGCAGGAACACCCCAGUAGCAACAAGCAAUCCUAAUGUCCAGGUCUUGGCUCCUAAAUACAAACAUUUUCUAAUAAAAUAAACCAGGGCUCCUGGAAAAAAUGCUUGAUUCUAAGUGUUAUGGACUAAGUGUUUUUGUGUCCCCUGCCUCAAAGUCCUAUGUUGAAGUCCUAACCUCUAAUUUAAUGGUAUUUUGUGAUGUGGGUUUUUGGAGGUAAUUAGUGUUAGAUGAAGUCUCAUAGAAGAAGACACACUAGAGAGUGCUCUCUCUCUUCACCAUGUGAGCACACACCAAGAUGGCAGUUUCCUACAAGCCAAGAGAGAGGCCUCAGAAGGAAGUCUUCCUUGUAGGCAGCUUGAUCUUGAACUUCUUGCCACCAGAACUAUGAGAAAUACACUGCUGUUGUUUAAGCCACUCAUAUGUUAUAGCAUUUUGUUAUGGCAGCCCAGCUGACUAAUUCACCAAGGCUGUGACAGGAACAAUCGAACAAUCCAGGAUGAGCCUGGAGUAUCUUGUGGCAAGAGAAAGUAAAUAAGUACUAUUCAAAAAAAAAAAAAAAAAAGGAAAGUAUAUUAAAAGGACACAAAACCUAAUCUAAAGAGUUGAUAAUGGACAAAACUGGAACAAUUUGAGCAAUGAGCUAAAAGAAAUAACUAAUAGAUAAACAUCUGUAAGUCUAUAUUACAUAAAUGAUUUAAUAGACAAACAAAUGAGGGAAAGGGUGUAACU